Mycena leptocephala is the source of this 88-nucleotide non-coding RNA. The record is from the annotation of a GenBank genome assembly. Lineage: Eukaryota; Fungi; Basidiomycota; Agaricomycetes; Agaricales; Mycenaceae.
GCCUCGGUGGCGGAUGGUCCGCGUCUGCAAUAAUUGGCAGGCUAUCCCAGUUGCGCAGAGGUCGCUCGGUCGAUUCGAGCCCGAGGCA